CCCUUAGAUGUUCUGGGCCGCACGCGCGCUACACUGACGAAUGCAACGAGCUUAUAACCUUGGCCGAAAGGUCUGGGUAAUCUCCAAAUUUCGUCGUGAUGGGGAUAGAUUAUUGCAAUUAUUAAUCUUCAACGAGGAAUGCCUAGUAAGCGCGAGUCAUCAGCUUGCGUUGAUUACGUCCCUGCCCUUUGUACACACCGCCCGUCGCUCCUACCGAUUGAAUGGUCCGGUGAAGCGCUCGGACCGCGGCCUCUUGACGGUUUUCCGUCGAUUGGCUGUGGGAAGUUCGUUAAACCUUAUCAUUUAGAGGAAGGAGAANUCGUAACA
This 327-nucleotide ribosomal RNA is filed under the name uncultured eukaryote. Its description in RNAcentral is "partial 18S ribosomal RNA". It matches the Rfam family "Eukaryotic small subunit ribosomal RNA", at positions 1470 to 1796 of the family's 1831-position model. The record is from RNAcentral.